This is a non-coding RNA of Camellia sinensis, 294 nucleotides long. NCBI's taxonomy places the organism in Eukaryota, Viridiplantae, Streptophyta, Magnoliopsida, Ericales, Theaceae. The record is from RefSeq and is a predicted model, not a curated record.
UUUUUUAUUAUGAUUGUUUGACUUUGCAGUUGUGAACUUGACACUAAUUGAUCUUCCCGGGCUUACAAAAGUUGCUGUUGAGGGCCAGUCUGAUAGCAUUGUGCAGGACAUUGAGAAUAUGGUUCGGUCCUAUAUUGAGAAGCCCAACUGUAUAAUUCUUGCAAUUUCUCCUGCCAAUCAAGAUCUUGCUACCUCCGAUGCAAUUAAGAUUUCUCGUGAAGUAGAUCCCAAAGGUAAGAUUCCUAGCCAGAUGCAAUUUCUGCAAUUUUAUGGACUGUAUACCUAGUUGAAAUC